UGAUCCUGGCUCAGAUUGAACGCUGGCGAUUGUUUACACAUGCAAGUCGAACGGCAGCACGGACUUCGGUCUGGCGGCGGAGUGGCAAUUGUGGGUGAGCAAUGUAUCGGAACGUGCCUAGUAGUGGUGGGGAUAAUUACGAAAGCGUAGCUAAUACUGCACAUUGCCUCUUCGGGGGAAAGCGGAUUCCGGCCUCGCACUAUUAGAGCGGCCGAUAUCGGAUUAGCUAGUUGGUGGGGUAACGGGCUUACCAAGGUUGACAUCCGUAGCUGGUUUGAGAGGACGACCACACACUGACUGAGAGAGCGGUCGUGACUCCUACGGGAGGCAGCAGUGGGGAAUUUUGGAGAAUGGGGAAAACCCCGAUCCAGCCAUCCGCGUGUGCGAUGAAGGCCUUCGGGUUGUAAAGCACUUUUGGCAGGGAGGGAAAUGCACGGAGGCACCUUGCAACUGACGGUACCCGCAGAAUAAGCACCGGCUAACUACGUGCCAGCAGCCGCGGUAAUACGUAGGGUGUGUAAGCGUUAAUCGGAAUUACUGGGCGUAAAAGCGUGCGUAUGGCCUGGAAAGAAAGAUGUGAAAUCCCAGAGCUUUCAGUUCUGGAACUGCAUUUUUAACUACCGAGCUAGAGUGUGUCAGAGGGAGGUGAAUUCCGCGUGUAGCAGUGAAUGCGUAGAUAUGCGAGAACACCGAUGGCGAAGGCAGCCUCCUGGGAUAACACUGACGCUCAUGCACGAAAGCGUGGGGAGCAAACAGGAUUAGAUACCCUGGUAGUCCACGCCCUAAACGAUGUCAACUAGCUGUUGGGCCUUCGGGCCUUGGUAGCGCAGCUAACGCGAAGUUGACCGCCUGGGGAGUACGGUCGCAAGAUUAAACCCAAAGGAAUUGACGGGGACUCGCACAAGCGGUGGAUGAUGUGGAUUAAUUCGAUGCAACGCGAAAAACCUUACCUACCCUUGACAUGUCUGGAAUCUUCUAGAAGAGAUUUGGGAGUGCUCAAGAGAACCGGAACACAGGUGCUGCAUGGCUGUCGUCAGCUCGUCAGAGAGAUGUUGAAGCAAGUCCCGCAACGAGCGCGGCACCCCUUGUCAUUAGUUGCUACGAAAGGCACCAUCGAGACUGCCGGUGACAAACCGGAGGAAGGUGGGGAUGACGUCAAGUCCUCAUGGCCCUUAUGGGUAGGGCUUCACACGUCAUACAAUGGUCGGGACAGAGGUCGCCAACCCGCGAGGGGGAGCCAAUCCCAGAAACCUGAUCGUAGUCCGGAUCGCAGUCUGCAACUCGACUGCGUGAAGUCGGAAUCGCUAGUAAUCGCGGAUCAGCAUGUCGCGGUGAAUACGUUCCCGGGUCUUGUACACACCGCCCGUCACACCAUGGGAGUGGGUUUUACCAGAAGUAGUUAGCCUAACCGUAAGGAGGGCGAUUACCACGGUAGGAUUCAUGACUGGGGUGAAGUCGUAACAAGGUAA
RNAcentral lists this ribosomal RNA (1469 nucleotides) under uncultured Bordetella sp. Its description in RNAcentral is "partial 16S-23S ribosomal RNA intergenic spacer". It matches the Rfam family "Bacterial small subunit ribosomal RNA". The record is from RNAcentral. Lineage: Bacteria; Pseudomonadati; Pseudomonadota; Betaproteobacteria; Burkholderiales; Alcaligenaceae.